GUGCCAGCCGCCGCGGUAAUACGUAGGUGGCGAGCGUUGUCCGGAUUUACUGGGCGUAAAGGGUGCGUAGGCGGAUAUUUAAGUGGGAUGUGAAAACCCCGGGCUUAACCUGGGGACUGCAUUUCAAACUGGAUAUCUGGAGUGCAGGAGAGGAAAGCGGAAUUCCUAGUGUAGCGGUGAAAUGCGUAGAGAUUAGGAAGAACACCAGUGGCGAAGGCGGCUUUCUGGACUGUAACUGACGCUGAGGCACGAAAGCGUGGGUAGCAAACAGGAUUAGAUACCCUGGUAGUCCACGCCGUAAACGAUGAGUACUAGGUGUAGGAGGUAUCGACCCCUUCUGUGCCGCAGUAAACGCAAUAAGUACUCCGCCUGGGAAGUACGAUCGCAAGAUUAAAACUCAAAGGAAUUGACGG
Molecule: ribosomal RNA, 413 nt
Filed under: uncultured bacterium
Lineage: Bacteria
Description: bacterial SSU rRNA
Rfam family: Bacterial small subunit ribosomal RNA
Source: RNAcentral